CAAGUGCAGUCACUAUAAAAUGAUUUUGUUGCAGGUGGUGACACUGGUCCAGGCUUUUAGAAAGGAUGCAGCCUCGGAAGCUACAGAGAAGGCUUUCUACACACGGUAUCCUCAGGACAGACAAGUGAUGGAGAAGAAUAGAUAUCAACUCCUUAAAAGUUUGAUAGACUCCACC
Molecule: long non-coding RNA, 175 nt
Organism: Mustela erminea (ermine)
Lineage: Eukaryota; Metazoa; Chordata; Mammalia; Carnivora; Mustelidae
Exons: 3
Source: RefSeq, a predicted model, not a curated record